GAUGAACGCUGACAGAAUGCUUAACACAUGCAAGUCUACUUGAACUUCGGUUUGGGUGGCGGACGGGUGAGUAACGCGUAAAGAACUUGCCUCACAGUUAGGGACAACAUUUGGAAACGAAUGCUAAUACCUGAUAUUAUGAUUUUAGGGCAUCCUAAGAUUAUGAAAGCUAUAUGCACUGUGAGAGAGCUUUGCGUCCCAUUAGCUAGUUGGCGAGGUAACGGCUCACCAAGGCGAUGAUGGGUAGCCGGCCUGCGAGGGUGACCGGCCACAAGGGGACUGAGACACGGCCCUUACUCCUACGGGAGGCAACCGUGGGGACUAUUGGACAAUGGACCAAAAGUCUGAUCCAGCAAUUCUGUGUGCACGAUGACGUUUUUCGGAAUGUAAAGUGCUUUCAGUUGGGAAGAAAAAAAUGACGGUACCAACAGAAGAAGUGACGGCUAAAUACGUG
RNAcentral lists this ribosomal RNA (454 nucleotides) under uncultured bacterium. RNAcentral's name for it is "partial 16S ribosomal RNA". It matches the Rfam family "Bacterial small subunit ribosomal RNA", at positions 28 to 507 of the family's 1533-position model. The record is from RNAcentral.